This 255-nucleotide ribosomal RNA is filed under the name uncultured bacterium. RNAcentral describes it as "partial 16S ribosomal RNA". It matches the Rfam family "Bacterial small subunit ribosomal RNA", at positions 793 to 1055 of the family's 1533-position model. The record is from RNAcentral.
GUCAACGCCGUAAACGAUGGAUACUAGCUGUUGGGGGCAACCUCAGUGGCUAAGCGAAAGUGAUAAGUAUCCCACCUGGGGAGUACGUUCGCAAGAAUGAAACUCAAAGGAAUUGACGGGGGCCCGCACAAGCGGUGGAGCAUGUGGUUUAAUUCGAUGAUACGCGAGGAACCUUACCAAGGCUUAAAUGUAGAUUGACCGGUUUGGAAACAGACUUUUCGCAAGACAAUUUACAAGGUGCUGCAUGGUUGUCGU